GUCCCUGUAGCGCAAUGGAUAGUAGUGCGUUGGACUUCUAAUUCACAGGUCGUGGGUUCGAAUCCCACCUGGGAUA
Molecule: non-coding RNA, 76 nt
Organism: Trichonephila inaurata madagascariensis
Lineage: Eukaryota; Metazoa; Arthropoda; Arachnida; Araneae; Nephilidae
Source: the annotation of a GenBank genome assembly